This 264-nucleotide ribosomal RNA is filed under the name uncultured archaeon. Its description in RNAcentral is "partial 16S ribosomal RNA". It matches the Rfam family "Archaeal small subunit ribosomal RNA", at positions 717 to 982 of the family's 1478-position model. The record is from RNAcentral.
AGUCACUGACAUUAGAUACCCGUGUAGUCCCGGGUGUAAACGCUGCGGGCUUGGUGUUGGGGGUCCUUUGAGGGCGCCCAGUGCCGGAGAGAAGUUGUUAAGCCUGCUGCUUGGGAGUACGUCCGCAAGGAUGAAACUUAAGGGAAUUGGCGGGGGAGCACAACAACGGGUGGAGCUUGCGGUUUAAUUGGAUUCAACGCCGAAAUCUUACCGGGACCGACAGCAACAUGAAGGCCAAGCUGAAGACUUUUGCCGGAUUAGCUG